RNAcentral lists this ribosomal RNA (305 nucleotides) under uncultured bacterium. RNAcentral describes it as "partial 16S ribosomal RNA". It matches the Rfam family "Bacterial small subunit ribosomal RNA", at positions 508 to 809 of the family's 1533-position model. The record is from RNAcentral.
ACAGCAGCCGCCGCGGGAAUACAGAGGGUGCGAGCGUUAAUCGGAUUUACUGGGCGUAAAGCGUGCGUAGGCGGCUUCUUAAGUCGGAUGUGAAAUCCCUGAGCUUAACUUAGGAAUUGCAUUCGAUACUGGGAAGCUAGAGUAUGGGAGAGGAUGGUAGAAUUCCAGGUGUAGCGGUGAAAUGCGUAGAGAUCUGGAGGAAUACCGAUGGCGAAGGCAGCCAUCUGGCCUAAUACUGACGCUGAGGUACGAAAGCAUGGGGAGCAAACAGGAUUAGAUACCCGAGUAGUCCCUGUCUCUUAUAA